UACGAAGGGGGCGAGCGUUAUUCGGAAUCACUGGGCGUAAAGCGUGCGUAGGCUGCUUGGAAAGUUGGAAGUGAAAGCCCAGGGCUCAACCCUGGAAUUGCUUUCAAAACUACCAGGCUAGGAUUUGGGAGAGGAUAGCGGAAUUGUCAGUGUAGCAGUGAAAUGCGUAGAUAUUGACAGGAACACCAGUGGCGCAAGCGGCUAUCUGGACCAACAUCGACGCUGAGGCACGAAAGCGUGGGGAGUCAAACAG
This 253-nucleotide ribosomal RNA is filed under the name uncultured bacterium. Its description in RNAcentral is "partial 16S ribosomal RNA". It matches the Rfam family "Bacterial small subunit ribosomal RNA", at positions 524 to 776 of the family's 1533-position model. The record is from RNAcentral.